UACAGAGGGUGCAAGCGUUGUUCGGAAUUAUUGGGCGUAAAGCGCGCGUAGGCGGCUCCGCAAGUCGGCCGUGAAAUCUCCGGGCUCAACUCGGAGGGGUCGGGCGAGACUGCGGGGCUCGAGGUGGGCAGAGGGCAGUGGAAUUCCGGGUGUAGUGGUGGAAUGCGUAGAGAUCCGGAGGAACACCAGUGGCGAAGGCGGCUGCCUGGGCCUGGCCUGACGCUGAGGCGCGAAAGCGUGGGGAGCGAUCCGG
This 253-nucleotide ribosomal RNA is filed under the name uncultured bacterium. RNAcentral describes it as "partial 16S ribosomal RNA". It matches the Rfam family "Bacterial small subunit ribosomal RNA", at positions 524 to 776 of the family's 1533-position model. The record is from RNAcentral.